This 201-nucleotide ribosomal RNA is filed under the name uncultured bacterium. RNAcentral describes it as "partial 16S ribosomal RNA". It matches the Rfam family "Bacterial small subunit ribosomal RNA", at positions 1294 to 1500 of the family's 1533-position model. The record is from RNAcentral.
CGGAUUGGAGUCUGCAACUCGACUCCAUGAAGCUGGAUUCGCUAGUAAUCGCGCAUCAGCCAUGGCGCGGUGAAUACGUUCCCGGGCCUUGUACACACCGCCCGUCAAGCCAUGGGAGUCGGGAGUGCCUGAAGUUCGUGACCGUCACAGGAGCGACCUAAGGCAAGACCGAUGACUGGGGCUAAGUCGUAACAAGGUAAC